GAAGAAAAGACAAAAGGAUGUGGAACCCGAAUCGGAAGAUUGAAAGCCAUGCAAUGAUCAUGUUUUUUAACUGUGCUUGUAGGUACAUUUGCAGGGUCAAGCUGAAGACAUAAUUGUAGACAAAAGGUAUGAACCAUAGAGAGAUGUAACCGCCGCUAUUUGCUACAGCCUCGUCUUGCCCAAGAAGUUUGAAAAUUUGUGUAGAGAAGAUGAAAAUCGGGAGUAAGACGGUUAAAGUAAUUAAGUCAACGAUCCAUGAUCUUUGCAAGUAAAUGCCCAUCAUGUGGUGUUGACCUGCUCCAAACGCUUGACCACAAAGAGUUUCGGUUGCACUCGACAUUCCCAACUACAGGAUUCCAUUGACAAAGCGGACACUGAGUGUUUGAACAAGGGCAAAGCCGGCAAGAUCUAUGUUACUAAUAUGGCCGAUAAAUGAUUGUGUGACAACAAUAGUUCCAAAUGUGCAUAUUCUUGAUAUGACACUUGGCAAUGCGACCCUCCAUAUCCUUCUUGAUUCGUCCCAUAUUCUCCCUUUCAAAUCACCUUCUUCCACGUCUUCGUCGUGUCGAAGUAACGUUGCUUGCAUUCCAUUUCCAUCUUCCAUGACUGUUGU
Molecule: long non-coding RNA, 613 nt
Filed under: Helianthus annuus (common sunflower)
Lineage: Eukaryota; Viridiplantae; Streptophyta; Magnoliopsida; Asterales; Asteraceae
Description: sRNA HanXRQr2_Chr06g0244141
Source: RNAcentral